Molecule: ribosomal RNA, 1076 nt
Filed under: uncultured archaeon
Lineage: Archaea
Description: partial 16S ribosomal RNA
Rfam family: Archaeal small subunit ribosomal RNA
Source: RNAcentral
CCUACGGGGUGCAGCAGGCGCGAAACCUCCGCAAUGUGAGAAAUCGCGACGGGGGGAUCCCAAGUGCCAUUCUUAACGGGAUGGCUUUUCAUUAGUGUAAAGAGCUUUUGGAAUAAGGGCUGGGCAAGACCGGUGCCAGCCGCCGCGGUAACACCGGCAGCUCUAGUGGUAGCAGUUUUUAUUGGGCCUAAAGCGUCCGUAGCCGGUUUAAUAAGUCUCUGGUGAAAUCCUGUAGCUUAACUGUGGGAAUUGCUGGAGAUACUAUUAGACUUGAGACCGGGAGAGGUUAGAGGUACUCCCAGGGUAGAGGUGAAAUUCUGUAAUCCUGGGAGGACCGCCUGUUGCGAAGGCGUCUAACUGGAACGGUUCUGACGGUGAGGGACGAAAGUUAGGGGCGCGAACCGGAUUAGAUACCCGGGUAGUCCUAACUGNUAMACGAUGCGGACUUGGUGUUGGGGUGGCUUUGAGCUGUUCCAKUGCCRRRGGGAMGSUGUUWMSUCCKCCGCCUKGGWMGUACKGYYGCAWGASWGARACUUAAARGRAUUGGCGGGGGAGCACCACAACGCGUGGAGCCUGCGGUUUAAUUGGAUUCAACGCCGGACAUCUCACCAGAGGCGACAGCUGUAUGAUAGCCAGGUUGAUGACUUUGCUUGACUAGCUGAGAGGAGGUGCAUGGCCGCCGUCAGCUCGUACCGUGAGGCGUCCUGUUAAGUCAGGCAACGAGCGAGACCCACGCCCUUAGUUACCAGCUUAUCCUUUUUUGGAUGAUGGGCACACUAAGGGGACCGCCUAUGAUAAAUAGGAGGAAGGAGUGGACGACAGUAGGUCCGUAUGCCCCGAAUCCUCUGGGCAACACGCGGGCUACAAUGGCUGAGACAAUGGGUUCCGACACCGAAAGGUGGAGGUAAUCCUCUAAACUUAGUCGUAGUUCGGAUUGAGGACUGUAACUCGUUCUCAUGAAGCUGGAAUGCGUAGUAAUCGCGUAUCACUAUUGCGCGGUGAAUACGUCCCUGCUCCUUGCACACACCGCAGCAGGCUCCUUGCACACACCGCAGCAGGCUCCUUGCACACACCGC